GUCAAUCCUUUGAGUUUCAGCCUUGCGGCCGUACUCCCCAGGCGGAAUGCUUAAUGCGUUAGCUGCAGCACUGAAGGGCGGAAACCCUCCAACACUUAGCAUUCAUCGUUUACGGUAUGGACUACCAGGGUAUCUAAUCCUGUUUGCUACCCAUACUUUCGAGCCUCAGCGUCAGUUACAGACCAGACAGCCGCCUUCGCCACUGGUGUUCUUCCAUAUAUCUACGCAUUUCACCGCUACACAUGGAGUUCCACUGUCCUCUUCUGCACUCAAGUUUCCCAGUUUCCGAUGCACUUCUUCGGUUGAGCCGAAGGCUUUCACAUCAGACUUAAAAAACCGCCUGCGCUCGCUUUACGCCCAAUAAAUCCGGACAACGCUUGCCACCUACGUAUUACCGCGGCUGCUGGCACGUAGUUAGCCGUGGCUUUCUGGUUAAAUACCGUCAAUACCUGAACAGUUACUCUCAGAUAUGUUCUUCUUUAACAACAGAGUUUUACGAGCCGAAACCCUUCUUCACUCACGCGGCGUUGCUCCAUCAGACUUUCGUCCAUUGUGGAAGAUUCCCUACUGCUGCCUCCCGUAGGAGUUUGGGCCGUGUCUCAGUCCCAAUGUGGCCGAUUACCCUCUCAGGUCGGCUACGUAUCAUUGCCAUGGUGAGCCGUUACCUCACCAUCUAGCUAAUACGCCGCGGGACCAUCCAAAAGUGAUAGCCGAAGCCAUCUUUCAAACUCGGACCAUGCGGUCCAAGUUGUUAUGCGGUAUUAGCAUCUGUUUCCAGGUGUUAUCCCCCGCUUCUGGGCAGGUUUCCCACGUGUUACUCACCAGUUCGCCACUCACUCAAAUGUAAUUCAUGAUGCAAGCACCAAUCAUUACCAGAGUUCGUUCGACUGCAGAG
Molecule: ribosomal RNA, 895 nt
Filed under: Lactiplantibacillus plantarum
Lineage: Bacteria; Bacillati; Bacillota; Bacilli; Lactobacillales; Lactobacillaceae
Description: Lactobacillus plantarum partial 16S ribosomal RNA
Source: RNAcentral